GGACAACAGUUGGAAACGACUGCUAAUACCGCAUAAGCCCACGGAUCCGCAUGGAUCUGCGGGAAAAGGAUUUAUUCGCUUCAGGAUGGACUCGCGUCCAAUUAGCUAGUUGGUGAGGUAACGGCCCACCAAGGCGACGAUUGGUAGCCGGACUGAGAGGUUGAACGGCCACAUUGGGACUGAGACACGGCCCAGACUCCUACGGGAGGCAGCAGUGGGGGAUAUUGCACAAUGGGGGAAACCCUGAUGCAGCGACGCCGCGUGGAGGAAGAAGGUUUUCGGAUUGUAAACUCCUGUCGUUAGGGACGAUAAUGACGGUACCUAACAAGAAAGCACCGGCUAACUACGUGCCAGCAGCCGCGGUAAAACGUAGGGUGCAAGCGUUGUCCGGAAUUACUGGGUGUAAAGGGAGCGCAGGCGGACCGGCAAGUUGGAAGUGAAAACUAUGGGCUCAACCCAUAAAUUGCUUUCAAAACUGCUGGCCUUGAGUAGUGCAGAGGUAGGUGGAAUUCCCGGUGUAGCGGUGGAAUGCGUAGAUAUCGGGAGGAACACCAGUGGCGAAGGCGACCUACUGGGCACCAACUGACGCUGAGGCUCGAAAGCAUGGGUAGCAAACAGGAUUAGAUACCCUGGUAGUCCAUGCCGUAAACGAUGAUUACUAGGUGUUGGAGGAUUGACCCCUUCAGUGCCGCAG
Molecule: ribosomal RNA, 694 nt
Filed under: uncultured bacterium
Lineage: Bacteria
Description: bacterial SSU rRNA
Rfam family: Bacterial small subunit ribosomal RNA
Source: RNAcentral